Long non-coding RNA from Drosophila montana, 731 nucleotides. RefSeq lists it as uncharacterized. Lineage: Eukaryota; Metazoa; Arthropoda; Insecta; Diptera; Drosophilidae. The record is from RefSeq and is a predicted model, not a curated record. The transcript has 4 exons.
UGAUUAUUAACAAUUAAUGUUUCUUAUCUCUAUUCUAAUUUGUAAGGUGUCUCCAUUCAGAUAAUUCAGUUUUCAUGCACGUGAACAUUUCUUCUCCAGAAUUCAUUUUUUUAUUUUAACAGCACUAAAUGGAACAGACGGCGAAACACUGCAAAGUUAUUGCUUGUCGCCGCAAAAAGAGACAAGCAAAGAAGCAAUUUUGAGGCAAUCGUUGCGCCGAUUAGGAACAAUGUGCCCACACAAAUACUUAGUACUGGGUAUGUCACGAUAACCAGUCGUGCAACAGAGCUCUCUGGGGGGUGGUAAGGGGCGAUAUAAAUGGGUAAUUCAAAUUAGGUAUGUAUGUGAGUAUAGUUCGCGCAACUGUUAAAUUUUAAACUUUUAUAUUUUACAGGCGCACACGCAUCACCUUUGGAGUUUUCCCUCACUGUUCGCACUCUAAAGUGAAGCUUGGCGGAGUACAAUCAGUAGUCUUCGUCUGACUCUGCCAAGGACUCGAACGAAGAGGGGCAAAAUGGAACAGACUCACUCGGAGGGUGUGGGCGUGGUCUCGCCUGUGGCCGCUUCUUCGCUGUUGGAUCUCGGUCGUUGGUGGCUCGCCUCGUCGCUUUCAGGGUUGCGCCGACGCUUGGCUGGCGGCGUCGUGGAUAUGGCUGGUGUGCGCCGCUGAUAUAGCUGGUGUGUGCCGCAGAGCCGAAUCCUGGCCUUUGGGAUGUUUCGUGGGCUUCUCU